Molecule: non-coding RNA, 228 nt
Organism: Vicia faba (fava bean)
Lineage: Eukaryota; Viridiplantae; Streptophyta; Magnoliopsida; Fabales; Fabaceae
Source: the annotation of a GenBank genome assembly
AUGAUUGAGGCAUCAUCCAUCACAUUUUUUCACUUCCCUCCACCGAUGCCACAUCAGCAACUGCAACCUCCGUGUUUGUGUUUGCGGCAACGUCCCAGCCUUAAUUGCAACCGUGGUCUCAAGGUCUCAAUCGUUGGGGAAAUUCAAAACAUCGUCGUCGACAUUAGGCUGCGAAUCAGAGGCAUGUGGAGGAGAUUGGUUAGGUUUUGGUUCGUAGGACGUUCAUAG